This 337-nucleotide ribosomal RNA is filed under the name uncultured bacterium. RNAcentral's name for it is "bacterial SSU rRNA". It matches the Rfam family "Bacterial small subunit ribosomal RNA", at positions 8 to 334 of the family's 1533-position model. The record is from RNAcentral.
AGGGUUUGAUCAUGGCUCAGGAUGAACGCUAGCUACAGGCUUAACACAUGCAAGUCGAGGGGAAACGGCAUUAAGUGCUUGCACUUUUUGGACGUCGACCGGCGCACGGGUGAGUAACGCGUAUCCAACCUGCCCCUUACCAGGGAAUAACCCGUUGAAAGACGGACUAAUGCCCUAUGCAGUCCUUUGACGGCAUCAGAUUAGGACUAAAGAUUCAUCGGUAUGGGAUGGGGAUGCGUCUGAUUAGCUUGUUGGCGGGGUAACGGCCCACCAAGGCAUCGAUCAGUAGGGGUUCUGAGAGGAAGGUCCCCCACAUAGGAACUGAGACACGGUCCUA